GCCAUAAAGGAUCAAUAUAUGGAAGGCCUUGUCGCAAUCUCUACCCACCUCCCACACACCCAAAAGCCAACACCACAAUGAUUACUGUGUGGGAGCAGGAAGGCCAAGGUCCUGGGAACUAAGAGAUUUGAAAACAGAACAGUCCAGCUGCAUUAGGACCACCUACGUAAUGUCACAGUUGUCUCAUAAAAAGUGAAAAUAAUCCCUCUUUAACAAGGAUUUUCCUUUGUUUUGACAUUUCUGCGUGCUGAAUAUUUGACAUACGCAGCCAGCUACAGGAUGAAAGUCAUCACACGGACAAAUCAAUCUCCACCUGUUUGCACACCUACAUCUUGUCUCACGGAUAAUGAGUUUUUAAAACCACCCACCCUAAUGCCUAAGGCUUGCAUUUUAGCCAAUCAGUGCUGACUCAUAAAUAACUCCACGGGGUUGAGCAGAAUGUUAUCUAUAUGACACACAUGAACUAGCGCAUGAACUAGCGCUGUCUAGCUGUGAAAAACUGUCAGCAUGCACUGGGAUGGGUUUAAUUUUGACUUGACUGUCUAUUUAAAUGACAGGAAAAUGCAAAUGAAUAAUGAAAGAGCAUUUCACAACUCAUAAUUGUUUUGGUACUCAUUUUGGGUUAGAUUACAAGUGGAAAUAAAUUGAUGAUGCGA
This is a long non-coding RNA of Bombina bombina (fire-bellied toad), 656 nucleotides long. RefSeq lists it as uncharacterized. The transcript is spliced from 2 exons. The record is from RefSeq and is a predicted model, not a curated record. Lineage: Eukaryota; Metazoa; Chordata; Amphibia; Anura; Bombinatoridae.